RNAcentral lists this long non-coding RNA (769 nucleotides) under Bos taurus (domestic cattle). RNAcentral describes it as "long non-coding RNA NONBTAT018651". The record is from RNAcentral. Lineage: Eukaryota; Metazoa; Chordata; Mammalia; Artiodactyla; Bovidae.
GUGUUCAAAGAAAUUCCAUUUUAUUAUUAAGUACUUUUCAAGUUUACAAUUUGCAAUUGGUAGAUCUUAGAAGUGCUUCUUUAUUUAUGACUUCUUUUGCAGUCUUUGUGAACAUUUUAAUGUGUACUAAAUGCUAACAUUUUACAUAGACAUACUGUAUAUUAAUGCAUGCAUUUCACUGCAUAGUUUAUUGACACUCCCCUUGUAAAGCUUUUAUGGAAGAAACAAUAAGCCACGGCAGUAUAGCAAAAGAGGCUUAAUCUUUAUAAAUUGGGGCCUUUUCUGCCUCUUUGCUAGCUUAGGUGGCUGUAUACAAAUUUGGGUGGGAGGGGCUGGAAACACCUCUUACCAUUUAAGGUUUUCUACAUGGUGAACUCUAGCCAAUUCGAAACAAAUUGCUUACUUUAAUAAAAAAUUUUACCAUUUUAUAAAAAGAUAAUCAUGACAUGUUUAAUUGAAAUGGCUGUGUUGUAAUUAAUAUUUUGAGAUAAUUGUGAUUUUGAGCUUAAAUUAUAUAUAAAAAUUGUCAUUUUUGUAUGUGUUAAAAAAAAACUACUGUAUCACAACAGUACUUUUUAGUUGAACUACAUAUUGAUGUAAAUAAAAACUGAAUGAAGACAUAUUUACAACUUUAUUAACAUAGAUUGUGAAUGUAGUUAAUGGGUUUUUUUUUGCUGUAUGAGACCAUGACAACCUUGAAAGCUGCUUCAUUUUAUGUGCAAAGAACUCCUAUGGAUCUAUAUUUUAAAUUUACUGAAUCAAUGAAGUU